UGGGGAAUAUUGGACAAUGGGCGCAAGCCUGAUCCAGCCAUGCCGCGUGAGUGAUGAAGGCCUUAGGGUUGUAAAGCUCUUUCGCCCGCGAAGAUAAUGACGGUAGCGGGAGAAGAAGCCCCGGCUAACUUCGUGCCAGCAGCCGCGGUAAUACGAAGGGGGCUAGCGUUGUUCGGAAUCACUGGGCGUAAAGCGCACGUAGGCGGACGUUUAAGUCAGAGGUGAAAGCCUGGAGCUCAACUUCAGAACUGCCUUUGAUACUGAACGUCUCGAGUCCGGGAGAGGUGAGUGGAACUGCUAGUGUAGAGGUGAAAUUCGUAGAUAUUAGCAAGAACACCAGUGGCGAAGGCGGCUCACUGGCCCGGUACUGACGCUGAGGUGCGAAAGCGUGGGGAGCAAACAGG
This 404-nucleotide ribosomal RNA is filed under the name uncultured bacterium. RNAcentral's name for it is "bacterial SSU rRNA". It matches the Rfam family "Bacterial small subunit ribosomal RNA", at positions 355 to 776 of the family's 1533-position model. The record is from RNAcentral.